UGUUUUAUGUUGCAAGGCAAAUUUCAUUAUGUUAUUUUGGUGUUUAAAAAAUAUUGUCAUAUGGUAUUUUAUCUUAAGUUGACAAUUAAGAUGUACUGAUGGCUUUAGUAUUGUUUCGAUUGUUCUUGUGUUAUGUAUAUGUAUCCAACAUUGGAUUCUUUUUUAUUUCUAGCUACAGCUUGCAGUAUUUUAAUUUAAAUUUUAUCUAUUUAGUUUCAUUAUCUGCCCAGAUCAUCAUUGUUGAUAUUUAAAAUUUUAUGCAGAUGAAAGAUUUGGAUUUGGACUGCUCAUUAACCAGCAAGGAGUUAAUACAGGGAGCAACCAAUAAGGUAUUCAUAUUUUGUCAAAUUUAUGGUCACAUGGUCUUCUGUCUUGAGUUGACAUUUAAGAUGUACUGCACCUAACAUUAUAUUA
RNAcentral lists this unclassified non-coding RNA (414 nucleotides) under Hevea brasiliensis (rubber tree). Lineage: Eukaryota; Viridiplantae; Streptophyta; Magnoliopsida; Malpighiales; Euphorbiaceae. The record is from RNAcentral.